GGAGCGGUAGGGCAGCCGGUUAGAAAUCCGGUUUGUCACAUCGGGAUCGAAGGUUCGAACCCCUGUCCGCUCCGCCA
RNAcentral lists this transfer RNA (77 nucleotides) under Pseudomonas sp. LAMO17WK12:I9. Its description in RNAcentral is "tRNA-Asp". RNAcentral also lists the same sequence under 1 other name. The record is from RNAcentral. Lineage: Bacteria; Pseudomonadati; Pseudomonadota; Gammaproteobacteria; Pseudomonadales; Pseudomonadaceae.